This is a non-coding RNA of Gossypium arboreum, 124 nucleotides long. The record is from Rfam. NCBI's taxonomy places the organism in Eukaryota, Viridiplantae, Streptophyta, Magnoliopsida, Malvales, Malvaceae.
AAUAGAAGAAUAAAAAAAUCAGGUUUUUCCUCUUAAUUUUCAGCCUUUUCGUCCUAAAAAAAUUUAAAUCCAACUAAAAAUGCUAAAAAUUAAGAGAAAAAAUCUAAUUUGUUAUUUUUCUAUU